Molecule: RNase P RNA, 384 nt
Filed under: Nitriliruptor sp.
Lineage: Bacteria; Bacillati; Actinomycetota; Nitriliruptoria; Nitriliruptorales; Nitriliruptoraceae
Description: RNase P RNA component class A
Rfam family: Bacterial RNase P class A
About the family: Ribonuclease P (RNase P) is a ubiquitous endoribonuclease, found in archaea, bacteria and eukarya as well as chloroplasts and mitochondria. Its best characterised activity is the generation of mature 5'-ends of tRNAs by cleaving the 5'-leader elements of precursor-tRNAs.
Source: RNAcentral
GGAGUCGGCCAGGCGGCCGCGCUCGCAGGCCGGGGUGACCCGGCGGCGGGUGAGGAAAGUCCGGACUCCGAAGGGCAGGGUGCUGGGUAACGCCCAGGCGUGGUGACACGUGGCAAGCGCAACAGAGAGCAGACCGCCGGCAGGUCCGCCUGUCGGUAAGGGUGAAACGGUGAGGUAAGAGCUCACCAGCGCGGCGGGUGACCGUCGCGGCUAGGCAUGCCCCACCCGGAGCAAGGCCGAGCAGGGACCACGGCGGCCCGUCGACAUGGUCCCGGGUAGGCCGCUCGAGGCGUCGGGAGACCGGCGUCCCAGAGAGAUGGUCGCCACCCGUGGCCGGGCAACCAGCCACGGGGACAGGAUCCGGCUUAUCGGCCGGCUCCUCCC